Molecule: transfer RNA, 85 nt
Filed under: Deltaproteobacteria bacterium
Lineage: Bacteria; Pseudomonadati; Myxococcota; Myxococcia
Description: tRNA-Leu
Rfam family: tRNA
About the family: Transfer RNA (tRNA) molecules are approximately 80 nucleotides in length. Their secondary structure includes four short double-helical elements and three loops (D, anti-codon, and T loops). Further hydrogen bonds mediate the characteristic L-shaped molecular structure. tRNAs have two regions of fundamental functional importance: the anti-codon, which is responsible for specific mRNA codon recognition, and the 3' end, to which the tRNAs corresponding amino acid is attached (by aminoacyl-tRNA synthetases). tRNAs cope with the degeneracy of the genetic code in two manners: having more than one tRNA (with a specific anti-codon) for a particular amino acid; and 'wobble' base-pairing, i.e. permitting non-standard base-pairing at the 3rd anti-codon position.
Source: RNAcentral
GCCGAAGUGGUGGAACUGGUAGACACGCCAUCUUGAGGGGGUGGUGGAGAGAUCCGUGGGGGUUCGAGUCCCCCCUUCGGCACCA